Molecule: ribosomal RNA, 611 nt
Filed under: uncultured Bacteroidota bacterium
Lineage: Bacteria; Pseudomonadati; Bacteroidota
Description: bacterial SSU rRNA
Rfam family: Bacterial small subunit ribosomal RNA
Source: RNAcentral
CUGAGAGGGUGAUCGGCCACAUUGGGACUGAGACACGGCCCAGACUCCUACGGGAGGCAGCAGUGGGGAAUAUUGGGCAAUGGGCGAAAGCCUGACCCAGCAACGCCGCGUGAGGGAAGAAGGUUUUCGGAUUGUAAACCUCUGUCCUAAGGGACGAAGGAAGUGACGGUACCUUAGGAGGAAGCCCCGGCUAACUACGUGCCAGCAGCCGCGGUAAUACGUAGGGGGCGAGCGUUGUCCGGAAUGACUGGGCGUAAAGGGCGUGUAGGCGGCAGUAUAAGUCCGGAGUGAAAGUCCUGCUUUCAAGGUGGGAAUUGCUUUGGAGACUGUACAGCUUGAGUGCGGAAGAGGUAAGUGGAAUUCCCAGUGUAGCGGUGAAAUGCGUAGAGAUUGGGAGGAACACCAGUGGCGAAGGCGACUUACUGGGCCGUAACUGACGCUGAGGCGCGAAAGCGUGGGGAGCGAACAGGAUUAGAUACCCUGGUAGUCCACGCGGUAAACGAUGAAUGCUAGGUGUAGGGGGUAUCGACCCCUUCUGUGCCGGAGUAAACACAAUAAGCAUUCCGCCUGGGGAGUACGGCCGCAAGGUUGCAACUCAAAUGAAUUGACGG